This is a non-coding RNA of Listeria monocytogenes, 163 nucleotides long. NCBI's taxonomy places the organism in Bacteria, Bacillati, Bacillota, Bacilli, Caryophanales, Listeriaceae. The record is from Rfam.
UUUUUUUGCAACUAACAUCAUUUUCGUCUUAGUAAAGAUAAACUUACCUGUAUUAGUAUAGCCUUCUUUUGUGCGGAUUAUUUGUUCAUACACUAUCUCCUCUACUUCAAGUGAUUCUAUUGUUUGCUCGCCGUCCACAUUAAAAGGGUUCCCACUUUAGAAA